Molecule: non-coding RNA, 760 nt
Filed under: Aleyrodes shizuokensis
Lineage: Eukaryota; Metazoa; Arthropoda; Insecta; Hemiptera; Aleyrodidae
Source: RNAcentral
UAAAAAUUUUAUUCUAGUUUUACAAUUGUUAAUAAAAUAUAUAAAUGUAUAUAAUUUAAAUAUUAAAAAUAAAUAAUUAUUAACAAUUAAAAAUUAAUAAAUUAAAGAAAUUUAAUAAUAAAUAAUAAUAAUAAAUUAACAAAUUCAAGUGCCAGCAGUUGCGGUUAAACUUAAAAUUAAUCAAUUCUUUAUACUAAAAACUAAUAUAAAUUUAAAUAAAGAAUAAAAAUUAUUAUUUAAUAAGUUGAAUUUAUAAUUAUAUAAAAAAUCUUAAAAUAAAUAUUAAAAAGUUAAUAAAUUAUAAUUAAAACUAGGAUUAGAUACCCUAUUAUAAUAAAUAAAAAAAUACUAAAGUAGUAAAAGUUAAAAUCUUCAAACUUAAAAAAUUUGGCGGUAUUUUAAUCUAAUUAGAGGAAUCUGUUUUAUAAUUGAUAAACCACAAGUUACCCAACUUAUUAAAAAAAUAAUAAUAUUUAUAUAUCGCUGUUAAAUAUAAAUUAAAAAAUUAUAUAUAAAAAAAUUAUCUAAUUAAAAAAUCAAGUCAACACAUAAUAAAAAAAUAAGAAAAUAUGGAUUACAUUUACUUUAAGUUAAUAAAAUUUUUUAAUAAAAAAAAAAUAAAAAAGGAUUUAAAAUUAAAAUUUUUUAAAAUUAAAAAUUUAAAUAAGAAAUAAUAUAUGUACAAAUCGCCCGUCACUCUUAUAUAAAUUAAGAUAAGUCGUAACAAAGUAAAUUAACUGGAAAGUGAAUUUAGAAAAUA